ACGGGAGGCAGCAGUGGGGAAUAUUGGGCAAUGGGCGAAAGCCUGACCCAGCAACGCCGCGUGAAGGAAGAAGGUCUUCGGAUUGUAAACUUCUUUUAUGAGGGACGAAGGACGUGACGGUACCUCAUGAAUAAGCCACGGCUAACUACGUGCCAGCAGCCGCGGUAAUACGUAGGUGGCAAGCGUUAUCCGGAUUUACUGGGUGUAAAGGGCGCGUAGGCGGGGAUGCAAGUCAGGUGUGAAAACUAUGGGCUUAACCCAUAAACUGCAUUUGAAACUGUAUCUCUUGAGUGCUGGAGAGGUAGAUGGAAUUCCUUGUGUAGCGGAGAAAUGCGUAGAUAUAAGGAAGAACACCAGUGGCGAAGGCGAUCUACUGGACAGUAACUGACGCUGAGGCGCGAAAGCUAGGGGAGCGAACAGGAUUAGAUACCCUGGUA
Molecule: ribosomal RNA, 437 nt
Rfam family: Bacterial small subunit ribosomal RNA